Regulatory RNA element from Rheinheimera sp. F8, 113 nucleotides. It matches the Rfam family "Ribosomal S15 leader". From Rfam's summary of the family: The E. coli Ribosomal S15 gene 5' UTR can form two alternative structures. One that is a series of three hairpins, The other includes a pseudoknot. The record is from Rfam. NCBI's taxonomy places the organism in Bacteria, Pseudomonadati, Pseudomonadota, Gammaproteobacteria, Chromatiales, Chromatiaceae.
GUCGUAGGCUGGAUUAGUGCCUGGCUGCGAUCGUAUUUAAUAUCCUGGAGGAUACUAUGUCACUAACUACUGCUGAAAAAGCAAAAAUCCUGGCCGAUUUCGGUGCAAACGCU